AUACGGGGGGGGCAAGCGUUGUCCGGAAUCAUUGGGCGUAAAGGGCGCGUAGGCGGAAUAGUAAGUCAGGGGUGAAAAUUCUGAGCUUAACUCAGUACCUGCCCUUGAUACUGCUAUUCUUGAGUUCGAGAGGGGAAAGUGGAAUUCCCGGUGUAGCGGUGAAAUGCGUAGAUAUCGGGAAGAACACCAGUAGCGAAGGCGGCUUUCUGGGCCUUACCUGACGCUGAGACGCGAAAGCGUGGGGAGCGAACCGGAUUAGAUACCCCGGUAGUCC
RNAcentral lists this ribosomal RNA (274 nucleotides) under uncultured bacterium. Its description in RNAcentral is "partial 16S ribosomal RNA". It matches the Rfam family "Bacterial small subunit ribosomal RNA", at positions 523 to 796 of the family's 1533-position model. The record is from RNAcentral.